UGAGGCGGGUCCGCUCCUCGCUGUCCUGUUCACAUCCGGACGCCGGCCUCUCACCCACAUUCAUUUCCUCAACGAGUCCAGCAGCAGCAGAAUGAGCUUCAUCCACACACUCACCUCUGCCCACGCCCUUGCGCAGCUCUUUGUCCUGAAUGAAUCCUGCAAACAUCUGAGUUUCCAUGAAGAGCUGCAGGAACUGGCGGACUCCACGGGACGGGUGAGAUUUGCGGAAGCUGUCACGCUGUAGCUCCCUGCUCCCGUUGGACGACUCGACCAUGUGGAGAGGAUAGUGGCCCACCAGCUCCACGAAUAACCGCACGAAACCCUCGGACACCAAAGAGCUCAGGUCGGCCUGAUGAUCUGGACGGGGCAGAGUUUGAAAAGAAGAUCAACGGAUUGAAAACAGAGAAAUGUUCUGUAGCUUUACAAUCACUUUAUAUAACAUGUAUAUGUUUCAUAACUUCCUAUGAGGGCUUAGAUAGUUUAACACUUUUGCUUAAAAGAUUUACUGACUUAAUAUGAACUUUUAAACAUUUUUUUUUUUACAUGCACAAACGGCAGCUAACCUGUAGAAGAGGUGGCAUCAUGAAUUCAUAGUUACAGUAUAAGAGCUGAUGCAGCCGAUGAUAUACUGUUGUGUCUGCUAAUCCACAAAAUCAGUGACUGAAGAUGUUGAAAACCUGACUGCCUUAAAGCAUCUUUCUGUUAUACAAACCUCCACCUCUGUCUCCAUCCUCCUGUCUCAGGAUCUCUUCCCUCUCCUCCAGGAUCUGCAGCAGCGCCGCCUGCAGCUUACUGGGCAGGAUGCAGUCCUCAUCGCCAAGCUGUCCAAACAUCACAAGUAAUGUUCAACAACAGUCACGUGAUGACCUGAAGCAAGGCUGUGCACAUUUCUUAUUGUCUCAACAGACUAGUGGUGGAAUCUGGUAUUUCAUACCUAGACACUAUUUUCUACAUAUUUGGGGACUACAUGAAUAAUUGGUGCUAACACAUAUGAGUUUGCUGCACUUGAUUGUUCAGGAUGGAGCUGUGAGACAGACCGAGUUUGCUGCAAUUUAAUCUUUUGUUGCAGAUGCACCAAAAACGUCACCGUAAGUCUGAUAGAAGUGUUUGUUUUAGUCACACUGGCUCCGAUUGAUGAUAGAAGGUGUGUCAAAACAGUAAAAGAAAACAUCCCUAAUCAAUCAAUGAGUCUAUGUUCGUCUUGAUUUGCUAAUUUAUAACAAAAUUUUGAUCUAAACACUAUAAAAAUAGCAAGUCUAGACAUCUUUCUUUUGAUGAAGCCACCAGAUUCCAUUGAGAAAAACAGAGAUUUGAUCUUUACGGUUACUGACCUAUUGCUGCCAUGACCAGGUCAAGUAUUUUGUGUCCUUAUAUAACUGAAGUUUUAUAGAGUUUGUCUGGAUCUAAUACAUGAGAUAUUACUUAAACUAACCAGUUGAGUCAGUGUUUAAGCAGGAACUUGUUUUUAGAAUGACUGUUUUUGUCUAUGGGAGGCAAACAUCUGUUUCUGGUUAAAUAAGGGUUCUUGCCUUAAAGCUCCUGUAAGGAGUUUUUAGCCAGUUAUGAAACAAUCUGAACUAAGUACUGCUGCUUCUUUAGGAGCUACAAGAGCAACGUGUGUUUACUGUAUGGAUUAUGUACUGUAUGUAAUGUUGUGAGAUACUUUGAUAUAAAAUCACCUAAUGGACUCGC
Labrus bergylta (ballan wrasse) is the source of this 1692-nucleotide non-coding RNA. The record is from RefSeq and is a predicted model, not a curated record. NCBI's taxonomy places the organism in Eukaryota, Metazoa, Chordata, Actinopteri, Labriformes, Labridae.